UACGUAGGGUGCGAGCGUUGUCCGGAAUUACUGGGCGUAAAGAGCUCGUAGGUGGUUUGUCGCGUUGUUCGUGAAAACCGGGGGCUUAACCCUCGGCGUGCGGGCGAUACGGGCAGACUUGAGUACUGCAGGGGAGACUGGAAUUCCUGGUGUAGCGGUGGAAUGCGCAGAUAUCAGGAGGAACACCAGCGGCGAAGGCGGCGCUCUGGGCCGGUACUGACGCUGAGGAGCGAAAGCGUGGGUAGCAAACAGG
This 253-nucleotide ribosomal RNA is filed under the name uncultured bacterium. Its description in RNAcentral is "partial 16S ribosomal RNA". It matches the Rfam family "Bacterial small subunit ribosomal RNA", at positions 524 to 776 of the family's 1533-position model. The record is from RNAcentral.